UGGCAGAGCAUAUUCAAAGUUCUGAAUGAAAAUGAUCUACACCCAAGAAUACUCUAUCCUGGUGGUAGAAGAGAGAAGGAGGUAGAAGGAGAGGUUCAAGAUGCUAACAUGAUGCCGACCAAACUUCCCUGGACAGACAACCCCACCAAUAUGUCCUGGAGCUCCACUUCACCAGAGCCCUUCAUCACUAGGGAAAGAGAGAGGCAGCCUGGGAGUAUGGAUCGACCAGUCAAUGCCCAUGUUCAGUGGGGAAGCAAUUACAGAAUCCAGACCUUCAACCUUCUGCAUCCCACAAUGACCUUGAGUCCAUGCUCCCAAAGAGUUACAGAAUGGGAUAGCUAUCAGGGAAGGGGUUGGGAUACAGAGUUCUGGUGGUGGGAAUUGUGUGGAGUUGUACCCCUCUUAUCCUAUGGUUUAGUCAAUGUUUCCUUUUUAUAAAUAAAAUUUUU
This is a long non-coding RNA of Erinaceus europaeus (western European hedgehog), 449 nucleotides long. RefSeq lists it as uncharacterized. The record is from RefSeq and is a predicted model, not a curated record. NCBI's taxonomy places the organism in Eukaryota, Metazoa, Chordata, Mammalia, Eulipotyphla, Erinaceidae. The transcript is spliced from 2 exons.